GCUCAGUGGUAGAGCGCUUGCCUUGCAUGCAUGAGGCCCUGAGUUCGAUUCCUCAG
RNAcentral lists this transfer RNA (56 nucleotides) under Dipodomys ordii (Ord's kangaroo rat). It matches the Rfam family "tRNA", at positions 10 to 63 of the family's 71-position model. Rfam says of the family: Transfer RNA (tRNA) molecules are approximately 80 nucleotides in length. Their secondary structure includes four short double-helical elements and three loops (D, anti-codon, and T loops). Further hydrogen bonds mediate the characteristic L-shaped molecular structure. tRNAs have two regions of fundamental functional importance: the anti-codon, which is responsible for specific mRNA codon recognition, and the 3' end, to which the tRNAs corresponding amino acid is attached (by aminoacyl-tRNA synthetases). tRNAs cope with the degeneracy of the genetic code in two manners: having more than one tRNA (with a specific anti-codon) for a particular amino acid; and 'wobble' base-pairing, i.e. permitting non-standard base-pairing at the 3rd anti-codon position. Lineage: Eukaryota; Metazoa; Chordata; Mammalia; Rodentia; Heteromyidae. The record is from Rfam by way of RNAcentral.